UACAGAGGGGGCUAGCGUUGUUCGGAAUUACUGGGCGUAAAGGGCUCGUAGGUGGCCAACUAAGUCAGACGUGAAAUCCCCAGGCUUAACCUGGGAACUGCGUCUGAUACUGGAUGGCUUGAAUUCGGGAGAGGGAUGCAGAAUUCCAGGUGUAGCGGUGAAAUGCGUAGAUAUCUGGAGGAAUACCGGUGGCGAAGGCGGCAUCCUGGACCGAGAUUGACACUGAUGAGCGAAAGCCAGGGGAGCAAACGGG
RNAcentral lists this ribosomal RNA (253 nucleotides) under uncultured bacterium. Its description in RNAcentral is "partial 16S ribosomal RNA". It matches the Rfam family "Bacterial small subunit ribosomal RNA", at positions 524 to 776 of the family's 1533-position model. The record is from RNAcentral.